UCCAAUAUUGGGAAUAAAACUAGUAAUCCAAAGGCCAUUAGAGUUGCAAACUCAACCCCCUGAAACAUACUUAUUACUGUUGUAGUUCACCGUACCAUCAACAUUCAGCUUCAUCCUUCUUUCAAGGGGCUUUCACCAACCUGCUAUAUGCUUCUUGAUCUUGAGAGGUUUGGUACACCAGCGGUCAUUAGCCUGCAUAACAUACUUAGCUAAACUUAUACGUUGAGCAUUACCUUUACCAUUACCAAAAUUAAACAUGCAAUUGUUUCUUCGCACCCGAAAGUAAUAGCUUCCAAUUGAACCCUUUAAGGCUUUACCCAUGCAUUGCGCUGGUUUAGCAAGUUACCACAAAGCCAAGCAGCGGAAGGCAUGUGAUUGAUAAAAGGACCAAUUUGCUCCAAAUUGCUGCAGCCUAAAGUACAAUCUCUUGGAGCAUGUGUUGUAGUAUCAAGUCCCUUACCACACACUUGAUCCGCCACAUGCAGCUUGCGUCCUUCCACGUUCAUCAAAAGUUUCCCAUCACUUGCUAACCAAAGGAAAUUCUUGAUUCUUUGUGGACCGUUAAAAUUCCAGAUUUUAUCCAUUUCUCGUCUUUAUUUCCCCAGUCUGUUAGCAUUGAGAAACUUAUACACCUCAACAAUCCACAACCUAAUAUUUUUGGGCCGUUGCCGAAAGCAAGUAUCGAGUGGGGGGAUGUGUACCUGCAACUGCAGUAGUUAUCAAUGUGGAACUCUCAAGGCAAUAUUAAAAUCCUAUACCCAAUUCCCAUCCACAUUUACCUAAUCUCCUGUCGUCCAGGUAUUCCAACUUGCAUUUUCCAGAGAGGGGGACCCAGACUGACAUUGAAUCUUGGUACCAUCCCCACAAGCCCACGCCAGAUUCUUCUUUAAGGGGUCUCUGGGGGCGAGUAAUGCUAUCAGUAACAUCAUCCACUCAUUUCUAUUUAUUCCUUACUAUUUUCGCUAAUAACAACGGCCGACAUUAGUAAUAAUAAUAUUCAACCCUAAUUUGAGUAAAAAGGAAAGAUUAAGACACCAUAGCUACCUCAAGCCAAACCAAAUCCAUUUUUUUUAUUUAAUAUAUAAAUAGUUUUCAAUUAUUACAUAAAUUAGUAAAAAUAACUUUAAAAUAUUAUUAUUAUUUAAAUAUAAAAACUAAUGAAUCAAAUCAAUAAUAAUGGGAUUCGAUUUGAUUAUCUUUAAAAUCUAAAUUAACUAUAUAAUAACCGCAAAUUCUUUUCCCACACUCAUUCCAAGUCAAACCACUGGCUAUUGCUAUUAGAUCUGAGGCUGCGACAAAAGUAAAUUUUUAAGUGAAUAUUCCUUUUUUUGGAAUAGUUAUUUAUUAAAAUUUAAAGAGUAAACUACAAGUUUAGUCAUUUAUGGUUGUUUAAGUUUAAAUUUUGGUUACCAAACUUUAUAAAAUUACUAAAUAGACACUAACAUUAUUAAUUUAUUAUGUUAUGGUUUCUUAGCUCUUAACUCCUGUUAAGAGUGUAACUGUAAGUUGACAUGACACAUUAUCAUUUCAAACAAAAUUUUACAUCAAAUUUUAUAACUAGCCCUUAAAAAUUUUCUUUUGAGUGAACUUAAUUCUUUUACUUUUAUUUUUUCCUUUUUUUUCUGUAUUUUCCUAAAAUUAGAAGGCAUUAAAGCUUUGGGAAAUUAGGGAUAAAUGUGUCACAGGUCGCGGAUCAAAGCCUGUGACAAAUGCAUACAAAAAGUUCGUUGGAGGUCAAUUAAUUAAAUAGGGCUCAUUUGACUCACAUGAACUACCCUGAUUUGUGAAAUCAUUCUUCAAAGUAAUAAAAUACUUCGAGAGCAUUUACUCAAACAUUUAAUGUAAUACCCCGAAAGUUUUUACAGUAAAAUAUUAUCCCUGAUAUAGUAAAAUAAGGAAAUAAAGUGACAAAAAGGGAAUUUUUGAGUGAUGUCAAUAUUGAGAAGUAUAUUAUGAUAUAUUAAUUCAAGAAAGGACUAAAUUGCAAAGAUGAAAAAAGUCUUGUUGCACAAGAGUAAAUACUCAAAAUUUAAGGGGUUGAAGUGUAAAUAUAAAAAAGUUGAAGGACUAAUGGUGCAAAUAUUUUAAGGGUGGAAUGAUCUAGAAACCAAGAAAAAUUGAUGAAUUAGGACCAAAUUGAAUAGGUAAAAAAAAUUAUGAGGGACUAAAUCGCAAUUUUACGAAAUUAAGUGAUGACUCAAGGAUGGAAUUCUAAAAGAUCAUGAAGGGCAAAAUGGUCAAUUAGUAAGAGAGAGAAUUCUAGAAUGUAAUGAUUAUAUUGAUGAUAUUUUAAAUUAAUUAAUUAGAUAAAUAUUAUUUUAUUAAUAUUUUAUGAGAUGUUUAUUAUUAUUAUAUUAUUAUUUAUUUAGUAUAAAAGGAAGGAAAGAUGAAGAAUUAUCAACACAUUUCCUUUUCCAUGCAAACUAACGUAAGAUAAGAAGAAGAAAAGAAGUUUUCUUUCUUUACAGUUUAGUCCUUCUACCAAAAAUUCAUUAUUUUCACCUAAAAAUUGAAAGAAUUUCCAUAGCCAUCAAGAGAGAAAGAUAGCAAGGAGAUGAUGGGGAGCAAGAAUAUCAAGUUGGAUUCAAGAAAUCGAAGCUGGAGGAGAGAGAAAAAUCAAGUUAAAGAUUGAAGUCAAUAAGAAAAGGUAAGUACAUCAAGAUUUCAAUAUGUUUUUAAGUUUGUUAUUAUUGAUAAAGAAUGGAAAUAAUGUUAUAGUAGAGUUUUCUUACAUAAGGUCCUAUGUUCUUGAUAUGUUAGUGAAGAAAAAAUAAGAGAAAGUGAUGAGAAAUGGUGUAGAAAAAGAAAAUAAGGAUGUUAUAACAUGGUAAUUAAUAUCUUGUACUAAAACAGUUUUGGACAGCAGCAGUAGUCUAACUUAGAAAAAUCAUCAAAAAUUGUAUAAAUCUAAUUAUAGGAUGAAUAAAACAUGAAAUUAAAGCUUAUUAAGUCUAGUUUCUUAUAGAAGAAAUUAUGUAAGCAAUGGAAUUCUAAAUCAUGAGCUAUGAUGAAUUUUGUGAGACAAGGUCAGAGUGAUUUCGGGUUCCCCUGUUCUGAAUUUGUAAAAUCAUAAAAAAAAUUGGAUGAAAAUAAUUAGGGGCUUAAAUUUAUAUUUUUAGAAUUCUGAAUGAUUCUAUUUUCAAUAGAAACAAAUAUGAACAUCAUUCGAAUUCUGUACAAGGAGAUAAUUAAUUUUUAGCGAAGAAGGGUUACAACUGUUAGACAACAGAAUAGGGGUAACUUUAAAAAAUAAACUGUACUUAUUGACUAAACCAAAAAAUUCUGAAAAUUUUAUGGUAAGAAGAUAUAUGAGUCUAGUUUCAGGGAAAAUUAGCGGAUCUUAAUUUGGAGUCCUAUAGCUCCAGAUAUAAAUAAUUUAGUGACUAUGACACAGAUGGACAGCUUGAAUAUUCAUAAAAGUAAAUAAUAAAGAUUAUAGAUAAUGUUACUUAUAAGUGUGCUACAUACAUCAAGGAUGUGGAAUGGAGAGGAGGAGGAGGAAAACAUAUAUGAAUAUUCAUUAAGCUGUAAACUAAGCUGUAAAUAUUUUUAUAAAUAUUUACGGAGUUUCAUUAAGGUGGUAUUAAAGUUUCAUUGAAAAAAUUUUAACGUUUCGAUAGUCAAUUAAUUCAAAAGGACUAAAUUGUAAAUGAUGUAAAAUUUAAUUACUAUUUGAUUUGAGUGAUUAAAUGGUUAAUUGAAUAAAGGAAAAGGACUUAAAUGGUAAUUCAAUCAUGUGUGUUGGAUCUUAUAUGUGAUUUUUAUGGCUAAUAUGUUGGCAAUCAUGUGUUUGGGCUUUUGGCCGAAUUGGUUGUGAUAUGCUAUAUUUACUUACCUAUUUUUAUGGAUAUAUGGUAAGUUAAAUUCCGUGUUAUACGAACUUAAUAAGCUUAAAUGCUUACUCUAUGUUAUUUUCUGUGUUUUAUAGUAAUUCAGAAGCUCGAUUGGGUUGGAAGCUUGUCAGAGUUAUAUCACACUAUCCAUCGGUUAUAUCGGUACUUUUGGAUGUUUUGAUUUUGGUUAUAAUGGCAUGUAUAAGUUAUUUUGGCUAAAUGUUGGCCUAUAAGUGUUUUAUUGAGAUAAACCACUUAUUUGGCUUUUGUUUUGGUAUUUUGGUAUGUGCAUAAUUUGUCUUAUAAUGUUGAUGUGUGGAAUGAUUUGUGGUUGAAUGAUGAAAGGUAAAAUAGUAGUUGAAUAUGCAUAUGAGGUAUGUUUUAUAACUUGGUGUGAUUUGGUAUUAUGCUAUAGUAGGUGUAUAUAUAUUUGAUGCUAUUGAAUAAGUAGUACAAUUGGUACCAAAUGCUGAGUUUUGGUAAAUGAUUUACAUGUUGUGUAUUAAUGCAAUUAUACAUAAAAGUUGGUUGAUUACUUGGUUACAUGGAUUAUAUGGUUAAACAUGUUUAUAAUUGUCAUUUAAGGUGCCUAAGGGCAUAUUGGUUGUAUGUGAAUAUACUACAUGUUUAAGGCUUGAUUUUGCUUGUUUUGGAUGCCAUAAUAUGGCUUUUUUAUAUGCACAAUGUUAAGUGUAGGUAGAUGUCGUAUUGGGUGAGAAAUAUGGCUUGUAAAAUAGCCUAUUUUUGUUCCCACGGGCAAAGACACGAGCAUGUGUCUCAGUCGUGUGUUACACACGGCCAGGUGACAUGGCCUUGUGUCUCCUGUAGUUUUUAGAGGGUUACAAGUAAGGCUAUUACACGGCCUAGCACACAGCCUGGGACACGAGCGUGUGAGGUUACUUUGAAGGGUACACGGCCUAGCACACGGGCAUGUGAUUAAGUCAAAGAGUUACACGUGCACAAACACAGGCUGAGACACUGGCGUAUCUCUUGACUGUGUGAGUCAUAAGGCUUGGCCACACGGCCAUGUGACCACUGCAGUGUUGAAAAUUUUAAAUGUUUCUGAAAAAUUUUCUAAGUUUUCGAUUUAGUUCUGAUUUGUUUCUAAUGCGUAAUUUGGGCCUCGAUGGCUCGUAUAAGGAACAAUAUGUAUGAUUUUGAUUGGUUUUUGACAUAAAUGUUAUAUGAUAUGAAAUGUUUGCAUUUUCUAUCGGUUUAAUUUGUAAACUCCGGUAAUACUCAGUAAUCCUGUUCUAGUGACGGAUUCGGGUUAUAGGUGUUACAUUAAAUUUUAUAAUGAUAUAUUAGAUUAAUUUGAAAUUUUAUUAGCACAAAAAUUAUAAUUAAACUGUUAAAUAUAAAAGAUGAGUGGUAUACAUCAUAAGUGCAUGAAACGGUAUGUCAAAGCAUGUAAGCCUUAUCUUGUCUACAUUGUUCGUUAUGUUGUAAGCCAUUCUGUGAUGUACUGUUUUUCUUAUUGAAUGUUUAGCAAAUAUCCGAUAAUAUAAGAGAUAUGAAAGAAUAUAUAUGUUGGAGCACAAGUGACGUCAAUGAUUCUUCCAUCUCAAACGUUAUAAAUUAUUUUGAGAAUAAGAGUAAUGGUAAAAGCAAUUUGAUUAAAUAAAUUAUUAAAAAUUAAUAAAAUAUUAAAAUUUGGAUUAAUUAAUUUAAUUGAAUUUUUAGCUCAAUUCAAUAAAUUUUAAAUUUAUUUCCUAAUCAAUUUGGAUAAUAUUGGUGUUAACUUGUUUUAAUUUACUUUAAAUAAAAUUUAGAACUUAAGUUUUGUAAAUUUUUUAAAAAAAUAUUAGAAGAAUUAUGUUGCUGGUAUACAAAUUCAACUUGAUAUGAGUUUUAAUUUGAUUGAUGUGGAAUAUAAUUAUUGAAUUCUAAAAAGAUUUUAAAAAAUUCAAAAUCAAAUAUUUAUUGGAAUAUCGUCUCAUGGCUCUAAUGUUUCGACCGGGCAUUGGCUUUUGACAAAAGCACAUUUGACUAGGUGUGUAGCCAUUUUCAUUAGUUCAAACACGGUCCAUCGUGUCCUUUGAUUAUUGCUUUUGAAAAUGAUUAUAACAUUUUAAUGAUGAUGGGGUCAUAUUUGGUCGUAAGACAUAUAAUUAAUUUGGGUUUUAAUUAUCCUUAAUUGAUUUUCCUUUUUUUGAUGAUUGGAAGUUUUAAGAAUAUGAUAAGGCGUCAUUAUUAGAGAUAACAUAAGAAAGUAAAGCAUAUCUAAUUAAUUAUGCUAUCAAAAGUCAUAUGGGAGCUAGAAUCAUCACUCAGCAUUGUAUAUCAUAAAUAAACUAUUUCACUCUCCAUACUCCUCAUUUAUUAACAAAAGUUAUUUUAUUUGAUGCAAAUAAAUCAUACCUUGUUUGUGGAAAAUUAUUAUUAAAAAUUUUAUUACACGUGUAGAAAAUACUUUUAAAAAUAUUAUAUAAUAAAUAAUAAAAUAUAUAGUUUAUAAUUAAUUAAUAAUAAAAUAUGAAAUUGGUAUGAUAUUAAAUUUUAAAAAAUUAAAUUAAAGUAAACAUAUGAAUAUAUCAUAUUAAGAAUACUAAAUGUAUACAACUAUUUAUCAUAACGUGGUCAUUAAUCCUAGGUUGGUGUCAAGUUAAUUUGUGACAACAUCUUAAUCAACAACAUUAUUAAUAUAUGCAAUUAGUGGAUGUAAUAAAGUGUGCAUAACAAAAUUAAACUGUAAAAGUAGAUAAAAAUAAAGUUUUGGUUGAGCGAUGAACGUAGAAUUUUCCGAUGUAAUUGGCAUGAGUUCAGAUCUCAUCAUAUGUAUGUUUGUAUUGUUUUUUAUAUUGAAAAACUAAAAUAUCCUCAAGUAAUAUAAAUUUUGUUCAAUACGGAAUGACAUUUUUGUAAAUUCCUAAUUGAGUUGGUCCCGGUUAACUCGUGACACCAAAUUAGUCAAGGAUUUUAUUAAUAAUAUAGAUAUACAAUUGAUGAAGGUGAUAAUAUGUGCAUAACAAAAUUAAAACGUAAAAGUAAAACAAAGUAAAAUAUUGGUUGAGUGGUAAAUUGAGAGUUUUUCCAAUGUAACUAGUAUGGGUUCAAAUUUUUUUAUAUGCAUUUUUUUAUUUUUUAUUUUUAAAUUAAAAAGAUUAAAGUAUUUUUGAAUAAUAUAACAUGUUUUAAAUACAAAGUCACUUUUGUAAUUUUCUAAUAAAAUUGGACCCCAAUUGACUCAUGACACCAACUUAGUUAAUGAUUUUAUUAAUAGUAUAAAUAUAUGAUGAUAUAAGUAAUAAAGUGUGAAUAAUAAAAUUAAAAUGUAUAAAAAUAUUAAAAUAAAGCUUUAAUUAAGUGAUAAAUUAUAGGUUUUAUUAAACAUGGGUCCAAUAUUUAUACAUGUUAAUUUUUAGUUCUUUUAUUUAAAAAUUACAUAAAAAUAUGAAAAGACAAAAAUAUUCACAAAAAUAAUAAUAGUCAAGACAAAAAUAUUCACAAAAAUAAUAAUAGUUAUUUAAUGAAAAGGUAUAGUAGUAAUUUUCACUCCACCAACCCGUGAUACUAACUUUGUUAGGGGUUAUUAAUAGUAUAGAAGAUAAUUAUUUAAAAUUUAAUAUUUUGGAUUAAAAGUAGAUUAAAUAUCUCAAAAAAAAAUCCAUUUCGGUCUAUAAUAACUCUGUGGGCUUCAAACAUUGGCUGUGAAGGUUCAUGAUAUUCGGAACAGUAAGGUUGUAAAAAAGGGCUUAAGAGGUGAGUGCCUAACAAACUGAGCUAAAGCCCAUUGAUAUAAUAUUGGAGUCAGAUAAAAUAUCUUUUUGUUACCAAAACCAAAUGAUGACCGACGGCGUACAUGCUCCAAUAUUGGGAAUAAAACUAGUAAUCCAAAGGCCAUUAGAGUUGCAAACUCAACCCCCUGAAACAUACUUAUUACUGUUGUAGUUCACCGUACCAUCAACAUUCAGCUUCAUCCUUCUUUCAAGGGGCUUUCACCAACCUGCUAUAUGCUUCUUGAUCUUGAGAGGUUUGGUACACCAGCGGUCAUUAGCCUGCAUAACAUACUUAGCUAAACUUAUACGUUGAGCAUUACCUUUACCAUUACCAAAAUUAAACAUGCAAUUGUUUCUUCGCACCCGAAAGUAAUAGCUUCCAAUUGAACCCUUUAAGGCUUUACCCAUGCAUUGCGCUGGUUUAGCAAGUUACCACAAAGCCAAGCAGCGGAAGGCAUGUGAUUGAUAAAAGGACCAAUUUGCUCCAAAUUGCUGCAGCCUAAAGUACAAUCUCUUGGAGCAUGUGUUGUAGUAUCAAGUCCCUUACCACACACUUGAUCCGCCACAUGCAGCUUGCGUCCUUCCACGUUCAUCAAAAGUUUCCCAUCACUUGCUAACCAAAGGAAAUUCUUGAUUCUUUGUGGACCGUUAAAAUUCCAGAUUUUAUCCAUUUCUCGUCUUUAUUUCCCCAGUCUGUUAGCAUU
Molecule: long non-coding RNA, 8256 nt
Filed under: Gossypium barbadense (sea-island cotton)
Lineage: Eukaryota; Viridiplantae; Streptophyta; Magnoliopsida; Malvales; Malvaceae
Description: long non-coding RNA (GBAR_LNC003813)
Source: RNAcentral